ACUUAAGUAUUUUAAUAUAAAAUAAUGAUUUGUGGUGUCAUAGAUAUGGUUACAUCUUAGGUUAUU
Molecule: transfer RNA, 66 nt
Filed under: Angulomastax meiospina
Lineage: Eukaryota; Metazoa; Arthropoda; Insecta; Orthoptera; Eumastacidae
Description: tRNA-His
Source: RNAcentral